UGCAAGACUUGAAUUACUAGGAAGUAACUAGAAUAUGUAGUGUAGCGGUGAAAUGCUUAGAGAUUACAUGGAAUACCAAUUGCGAAGGCAGGUUACUACUAGUGGAUUGACGCUGAUGGACGAAGGCGUGGGUAGCGAACAGGAUUAGAUACCCUGGUAGUCCACGCCGUAAACGAUGGAUACUAGCUGUUGGGAGCAACUUCAGUGGCUAAGCGAAAGUGAUAAGUAUCCCACCUGGGGAGUACGGGCGCAAGCCUGAAACUCAAAGGAAUUGACGGGGGCCCGCACAAGCGGUGGAGCAUGUGGUUUAAUACGAUGAUACGCGAGGAACCUUACCAAGGCUUAAAUGUAGAUUGACCGAUUUGGAAACAGAUCUUUCGCAAGACAAUUUACAAGGUGCUGCAUGGUUGUCGUCAGCUCGUGCCGUGAGGUGUCAGGUUAAGUCCUAUAACGAGCGCAACCCCUGUUGUUAGUUGCCAGCGAGUCAUGUCGGGAACUCUAACGAGACUGCCAGUGCAAACUGUGAGGAAGGUGGGGAUGACGUCAAAUCAUCACGGCCCUUACGCCUUGGGCUACACACGUGCUACAAUGGCCGGUACAGAGAGCAGCCACUGGGCGACCAGGAGCGAAUCUAUAAAACCGGUCACAGUUCGGAUCGGAGUCUGCAACUCGACUCCGUGAAGCUGGAAUCGCUAGUAAUCGGAUAUCAGCCAUGAUCCGGUGUAUACGUUCCCGGGCCUUGUACACACCGCCCGUCAAGCCAUGGAAGCUGGGGGUGCCUGAAGUCGGUGACCGCAAGGAGCUGCCUAGGGUAAAACUGGUAACUAGGGCUAAGUCGUAACAAGGUAGCC
This 851-nucleotide ribosomal RNA is filed under the name uncultured bacterium. RNAcentral describes it as "bacterial SSU rRNA". It matches the Rfam family "Bacterial small subunit ribosomal RNA", at positions 634 to 1501 of the family's 1533-position model. The record is from RNAcentral.